This 253-nucleotide ribosomal RNA is filed under the name uncultured bacterium. Its description in RNAcentral is "partial 16S ribosomal RNA". It matches the Rfam family "Bacterial small subunit ribosomal RNA", at positions 524 to 776 of the family's 1533-position model. The record is from RNAcentral.
UACGAAGGGGGCUAGCGUUGUUCGGAAUUACUGGGCGUAAAGCGCACGUAGGCGGAUACUUAAGUCAGGGGUGAAAUCCCGGGGCUCAACCCCGGAACUGCCUUUGAUACUGGGUAUCUCGAGUCCGGAAGAGGUGAGUGGAAUUCCGAGUGUAGAGGUGAAAUUCGUAGAUAUUCGGAGGAACACCAGUGGCGAAGGCGGCUCACUGGUCCGGUACUGACGCUGAGGUGCGAAAGCCAGGGGAGCAAACGGG